ACUGUAAAAAAGCCAACUUAUGAAAAGUUAUCUAAAUAAAGUUUUAAAAGUAAACUGAACUAAGAUAUUUUUGUUUGACAUAUUCAGAAAUAAUACUUAGUUUAUUCAACAAAUAUGUUGCUUCAAUGUUAAAAAACUGUAUAAUACUAAAAAUGUUUUGUUGAACUUACAUUAAAAUGUUAGUUUUGCGUUAAAGCGUGCGUUUGCGUCUUGUUGGCGCAAGCGCAUGGUAAUUUGAAACUUCGACUGCGGGGAUUACUGAAAGGGCAGCAUCGUGCCAAUUCACUCGUUUCUGCCGAGUUACAGUGUAGUGUUGAUUUGAAACAGCGUGCCGGUUCAAAGCAGUCCAGCAUUUCUGCCAAAUCAUAGGUCCUGUCUAUCCGGAUGCCUGUCGGCACUGUUUAAACGUUGCGCGUCUUCUUAACGGUUUUGACGGCGGAACAGACAGUGGGAACUACUGUAAGUAUAUCAAGAACAUCGUGUGACAUUCAGGCAAUAUACAUCACUUGAGACGUUCGGUUAUCUCGACUAAACGGCCAAUAAAUUGUAUUGUGGCGCUGGCUAACCAGGCCAACUUAACUUACCUCAAGACUGGAAGCUGGAAAUCGCUAGCUUUUUGAUCUGCAUGGAGUUCUUCCAGAUCUGUAACAUAGAUCUCCUGAAAAAGUUCAGCGAAUCACUUGAUAAAUAUACAGCACCUCUCCUGAAACUGUACAGAAAAAGAAGAGAUUCAUUGGGUCCAGAAAUGAAGACACUUUUGGACAAGCUGGAUGAGCAGGCCAGUGAUAUUAUCACUCACCGAAAAAGAGCAGCUCUUGAGGGACUGCCACUCAUUCUGCGUGAAAAUUCGGCUUUCUUGCUCAAGAUGUGUCUGGACGUUGACCCUGAAGCCCACAGCACCAGAGGUGUAAAGAUCGGAAUCCUAACUGUGGUUGAGGAUGAUGUUGGCACUCCUGCUUCACUGGCCACUGUGAUCAACCAUGCAAUAAUCCUGGAAGAGGCCAUUGUUCUUCAGGAUAUUCCAGAUCUGCCUGAAGCCUUUGCUUACUUGUUCGGUCUCUUGUAUGCACUCAAUAAGGAAUACCCAAAAGAACUGAAAUAUACUUUUGAAGUCAUUCAGAAAAUCUUUAUGGAUCUUGGUGAUACCUGCUCUGCGAGAGUCCAGUCACUAAAAUCAAAAUUGUUGUAGCUGACCAUUUUGCGGAUGUUAUUGGAGCUAUGGCAAAUGGGACAAUGAUUUUUGCAAUCAAAAUUUAGUAGUACAUACUGAUUUAUUACAAUGUAUAAUUUGGUUCAAUCUUUGCACCUUUAACGAAUACUGAAUCUUUUAGUUUUGUUUUUUGUUUUUAUCUGGCAGUAACGGUACAAGCUAUUUUUUUUUCUGAUACACUUACAUGCAGUAAAAUAGUUCAUGUUAUAUAUGAAUCAUACUUUACUAAGGUUUGAGGUUUAUUCAGAUGUGAUGUUAAUGUAUUCUCAAUGUUGAUCUGCCGAAAUAAUACAAAAUUCUUUAUGCAGUGUUUGAAUCUAGUAUAUUUUGACGUAUACUUGUUUUGGAUUUAAUGUACUUUGCUGUUCUGCCGAAUAAGAAUGCUUUAUACACUGUGGUUCGAGGUUUUGCUCGGAUGCUUUUACUUUUGUUGGUUUCGGGUUUUUGGGCAAAAUAUUACUUUUUUUGGAGCUCAUCUUUCAAUUUAUGUUGAAAAAAGUGGUAGUUUUUAUAAUUUACAAAUUUCCAAUGAUUAACAUUUCUGUACUAUUUUUCUAUAAACAUGCCUAAUGCAGAAGACGUGUAUGGCAUAUGGUAGACUGUAUUGUAAUGUGUUCGGACAAACUAUUAAAAAAAG
Molecule: long non-coding RNA, 1847 nt
Organism: Brienomyrus brachyistius
Lineage: Eukaryota; Metazoa; Chordata; Actinopteri; Osteoglossiformes; Mormyridae
Exons: 6
Source: RefSeq, a predicted model, not a curated record